GGAAAGAAAUACAGAGAGCCAAGGAAAAGGAAUUGAAUUUCAACUUCUCCUACAUCAUCAUCAUUUGCAAACUGUACAAAGAAGACGCCACUGAGAAGAAGAAAAAGAAGAAGGGCAAGAAGAAGAACGCUGAGCCCGAAAUUAUAUUGACCAAUCCGAGGAAGAACUGUUUGAUCAGGAGGCAGAUUGCCGCUUCGAGUUCAGUGUUCGAAACGAGAGCGACUCUGCGCUGAGUGGAGACUGGAUGGAGGACGACAGAGUGCUCAAGCCAUAUCGGCGAGUGCUUGUCAUAUCGGCCGACAAACUCGAGAGAAUCAUCGACAAAAUCAAAGACUUUGUCUCGCCCACCAAAUAAACACAGUGCAAUUCUA
Long non-coding RNA from Nilaparvata lugens (brown planthopper), 371 nucleotides. RefSeq lists it as uncharacterized. NCBI's taxonomy places the organism in Eukaryota, Metazoa, Arthropoda, Insecta, Hemiptera, Delphacidae. The record is from RefSeq and is a predicted model, not a curated record. The transcript is spliced from 2 exons.